Molecule: ribosomal RNA, 253 nt
Filed under: uncultured bacterium
Lineage: Bacteria
Description: partial 16S ribosomal RNA
Rfam family: Bacterial small subunit ribosomal RNA
Source: RNAcentral
UACGGAGGGGACUAGCGUUGUUCGGAAUUACUGGGCGUAAAGCGCACGUAGGCGGAUUUGUAAGUCAGGGGUGAGAUCCCGGGGCUCAACCUCGGAACUGCCUUUGAUACUGCAAAUCUCGAGUCCGGAAGAGGUGAGUGGAAUUCCUAGUGUAGAGGUGAAAUUCGUAGAUAUUAGGAAGAACACCAGUGGCGAAGGCGGCUCACUGGUCCGGUACUGACGCUGAGGUGCGAAAGCGUGGGGAGCAAACAGG